Molecule: non-coding RNA, 89 nt
Organism: Mycena latifolia
Lineage: Eukaryota; Fungi; Basidiomycota; Agaricomycetes; Agaricales; Mycenaceae
Source: the annotation of a GenBank genome assembly
GGUCUGGUGGCGGAUGGUCCGCGCCUGUGCACGAUGGAAUAGACGGAGGGAUUCUGCAGGAGACGCUCGUUCGAUUCGAGCCUGGGCCC